AUAUCUUUCUUGACUUUUUGGCUAGAUCCAACUGUUGUAUCUGUUCUUAUCAGUUUAAAAUCUGAUACAUGGGCCAUUGGCUCACAUGACAUUUAAUUAAUUUCUUGUGGGGGAAGGCCCACUGUAGUAGCUUGAUACUGGGGCCCUCGAGCAUCGCCCCUGUGUUGCACUACUGCGUUGGGAUGCUGCACCCCUA
Molecule: small nuclear RNA, 196 nt
Organism: Magnolia sinica
Lineage: Eukaryota; Viridiplantae; Streptophyta; Magnoliopsida; Magnoliales; Magnoliaceae
Product: U2 spliceosomal RNA
Exons: 1
Source: RefSeq, a predicted model, not a curated record